ACGAGAGAUGAAAAGAGUAGUCUUAGGUAUCAGUUGAGAGAGCCUUGUUGCUGAGAAAAGGUCUGAUAUUGGGAUGAACCACACUCAUCGCUAUCUUACUCACAUUAUUAUGUGAGCGUUAGCUGCGUUAAUGCUAAGUUGUUAUAACUUACCGAGGUCACUUUUGUGAAAAAGUGAUAAAUUAAGGUGGAACCACGAUUAAACCGUCCUUUAA
Molecule: non-coding RNA, 214 nt
Filed under: Lactococcus lactis
Lineage: Bacteria; Bacillati; Bacillota; Bacilli; Lactobacillales; Streptococcaceae
Source: RNAcentral